CCAAAAUCUUUCUACUCUUCCAAAAUUCCCUUAGCCUAAAAGCCUCCCACCAAAUAUUAAUAGCAAUCCUCUUCCAACAGUGGAACCCCCAAUUUAAAGCUUUACAAAUGUAAAAGUUAGAUUCAUUGGUUAUCCAUUUUCUAAAUGGAUAAUAUGGUCGUUAUCCAUAUUUGACCCAUUUUUAUAAAGUUCAUUAUCCAAUCUAUUUUUUUAGUGGAUAAUAUAGUUGGCUAACUGUUUUCUUUUUAACUAUUUUGGCACCCAACUCCAUUAAUAACUCAUGGAAUUUGACAGUUCUUGUAUUGUUUUCAUAUUUUAGUUAGAAAUCCUUUUCUCCAAAUAUUUUUCCAUGUCAAAAGAGCGACUAAAUGUACACUAGCUUUUAACAGUGGUUAAUGUUUGAUUACCGGUGUUAAAGUUAGCUUUUGGUAAAAGAAAAAUUAGUCGAGCCCUACGUCAUCACAUUGCAGAUGCCGCGCUAAGCCAUGGUGUGAUAAUAUUCACUCUAGAUCACAACCAUAUGCUUUUGCUCAAAAGGCAUCACAUUAAGAGUGUUACUAGAAAAGAAUUGUACAGUUUUCAUUAUGUAGAAGCAUAGGUAG
This 602-nucleotide long non-coding RNA is filed under the name Nicotiana benthamiana. Its description in RNAcentral is "long non-coding RNA (NBEN_LNC016988)". Lineage: Eukaryota; Viridiplantae; Streptophyta; Magnoliopsida; Solanales; Solanaceae. The record is from RNAcentral.